RNAcentral lists this ribosomal RNA (268 nucleotides) under uncultured bacterium. RNAcentral describes it as "partial 16S ribosomal RNA". It matches the Rfam family "Bacterial small subunit ribosomal RNA", at positions 524 to 796 of the family's 1533-position model. The record is from RNAcentral.
UACGAAGGGGCUAGCGUUGUUCGGAAUCACUGGCGUAAGCGCACGUAGGCGGACUUUAAGUCAGGGGUGAAAUCCCGGGGCUCAACCCGGAACUGCCUUUGAUACUGGAAGUCUUGAGUCCGAGAGAGGUGAGUGGAACUCCGAGUGUAGAGGUGAAAUUCGUAGAUAUUCGGAAGAACACCAGUGGCGAAGGCGGCUCACUGGCUCGGUACUGACGCUGAGGUGCGAAAGCGUGGGGAGCAAACAGGAUUAGAUACCCGCGUAGUCC